GAAGAAGAACGCAGCGAAAUGCGAUAAGUAAUGUGAAUUGCAGAAUUCAGUGAAUCAUCGAAUCUUUGAACGCACAUUGCGCCCCCUGGUAUUCCGGGGGGCAUGCCUGUUCGAGCGUCAUUUCACCACUCAAGCCUCGCUUGGUAUUGGGCGACGCGGUCCGCCGCGCGCCUCAAAUCGACCGGCUGGGUCUUUCGUCCCCUCAGCGUUGUGGAAACUAUUCGCUAAAGGGUGCCGCGGGAGGCCACGCCGUAAAACAACCCCAUUUCUAAGGUUGACCUCGGAUCAGGUAGGGAUACCCGCUGAACUUAAGCAUAUCAAUAAGCGGAGGA
RNAcentral lists this unclassified non-coding RNA (332 nucleotides) under soil metagenome. Its description in RNAcentral is "partial contains 5.8S ribosomal RNA, internal transcribed spacer 2, and large subunit ribosomal RNA". The stretch from base 1 to 120 matches the Rfam family "5.8S ribosomal RNA", at positions 35 to 154 of the family's 154-position model. The record is from RNAcentral.